RNAcentral lists this ribosomal RNA (314 nucleotides) under Clostridioides difficile. RNAcentral's name for it is "bacterial SSU rRNA". It matches the Rfam family "Bacterial small subunit ribosomal RNA", at positions 337 to 669 of the family's 1533-position model. Lineage: Bacteria; Bacillati; Bacillota; Clostridia; Peptostreptococcales; Peptostreptococcaceae. The record is from RNAcentral.
UCCUACGGGAGGCAGCAGUGGGGAAUAUUGCACAAUGGGCGAAAGCCUGAUGCAGCAACGCCGCGUGAGUGAUGAAUGCCUUCGGGUCGUAAAACUCUGUCCUCAAGGAAGAUAAUGACGGUACUUGAGGAGGAAGCCCCGGCUAACUACGUGCCAGCAGCCGCGGUAAUACGUAGGGGGCUAGCGUUAUCCGGAUUUACUGGGCGUAAAGGGUGCGUAGGCGGUCUUUCAAGUCAGGAGUGAAAGGCUACGGCUCAACCGUAGUAAGCUCUUGAAACUGGGAGACUUGAGUGCAGGAGAGGAGAGUGGAAUUC